Long non-coding RNA from Epinephelus fuscoguttatus (brown-marbled grouper), 582 nucleotides. RefSeq lists it as uncharacterized. The record is from RefSeq and is a predicted model, not a curated record. NCBI's taxonomy places the organism in Eukaryota, Metazoa, Chordata, Actinopteri, Perciformes, Serranidae. The transcript is spliced from 6 exons.
AGCCUGUUCAAAGGAGUCUUAAAAAGGUGCAGAUUUUCCUGGAGGGAGUCGUUUCCGGCUUUCAUGGUUCAAGAGAGCUGAGCUGCCAGUCAGAGUGAUUUCACUUCAGCAACUGUAUCCAGGAGACUCCCGUGUUUCUAUGUUGAGGACCAUUAAGGACCAACAUCCGACCACUGCCACCCCCUCCUCACAUUUGAAAAACACCUUUCCUGUGUCACUGAUUUCAUAUCCAGCUCCUCGGUCACCUGCCCGUCCCAGUCAGCCUGGUGAUUAUCAGGAACCAGCGCGAUGCUGAACUUCCGGCUUUUGACGUCAGCCCUGGCACACUCUAUUCACCAGUGCAGCUUAAGAGGAGGGGUGGAAGACAGAGGGGGAAGGCAUGCAGCAAAGGUUGGAAUCAGGCCUCAGCCAAUAUGGGCUGCACACUCUACCAGAUAUGAAGUUUUUGACCAACUCCAAAUCUGAAAUGUCAAGCGACGAUCUGAGCAGCAGAGCGGGAUGAAGGCCGACGUUGAAGGUGACAGGAGGAGAUGGCUGAUCGAGAGAGCGACUGUGAAAUGGAGGUGGAGAGAGAUGGAAAGU